AAGAACCACCGGUUCUUGCCGGUUUUGAAACGAUCCUCGAGGCGCUUCUUGGUCUCCUUGAGGGCAGUGACCUUCUUGUCCUUGGCGUGGAGGACGUCGGGGGAGACGGCGUCCUUGAGGUCCACGUCGAGCGUGUAGCGCGUUGGCAUCAAGUGCUGGUAGUUGACGAGCUUGAUGAAGGCCUUCACGCGCGACUUCUUCGCGGUCUUCUUGGCGGAGUCCUUCUUUAUGACCUUGCUAGGGUACUUCUUUAUCCCUGCAACCAAACAGUGACCGUAGGGGCGCUC
This 287-nucleotide long non-coding RNA is filed under the name Phaseolus vulgaris (common bean). RNAcentral describes it as "long non-coding RNA (PVUL_LNC001330)". Lineage: Eukaryota; Viridiplantae; Streptophyta; Magnoliopsida; Fabales; Fabaceae. The record is from RNAcentral.